This 368-nucleotide ribosomal RNA is filed under the name uncultured bacterium. RNAcentral describes it as "bacterial SSU rRNA". It matches the Rfam family "Bacterial small subunit ribosomal RNA", at positions 28 to 400 of the family's 1533-position model. The record is from RNAcentral.
GACGAACGCUGGCGGCGUGCUUAACACAUGCAAGUCGAACGGUAAGGCCCUUCGGGGUACACGAGUGGCGAACGGGUGAGUAACACGUGGGUGAUCUGCCCUGCACUUUGGGAUAAGCCUGGGAAACUGGGUCUAAUACCGAAUAUGACCAUGGACUUCACGGUUUGUGGUGGAAAGCUUUUGCGGUGUGGGGAUGGGCCCGCGGCCUAUCAGCUUGUUGGUGGGGUAAUGGCCUACCAAGGCGACGACGGGUAGCCGGCCUGAGAGGGUGACCGGCCACACUGGGACUGAGAUACGGCCCAGACUCUACGGGAGGCAGCAGUGGGGAAUAUUGCACAAUGGGCGCAAGCCUGAUGCAGCGACGCCGC